CAGUCGCCGCGGGAAUACAGAGGGUGCGAGCGUUAAUCGGAUUUACUGGGCGUAAAGCGUGCGUAGGCGGCUUCUUAAGUCGGAUGAGAAAUCCCUGAGCUUAACUUAGGAAUUGCAUUCGAUACUGGGAAGCUAGAGUAUGGGAGAGGAUGGUAGAAUUCCAGGUGUAGCGGUGAAAUGCGUAGAGAUCUGGAGGAAUACCGAUGGCGAAGGCAGCCAUCUGGCCUAAUACUGACGCUGAGGUACGAAAGCAUGGGGAGCAAACAGGAUUAGAUACCCCCGUAGUCCCUGUCUCUUAUAC
This 301-nucleotide ribosomal RNA is filed under the name uncultured bacterium. RNAcentral's name for it is "partial 16S ribosomal RNA". It matches the Rfam family "Bacterial small subunit ribosomal RNA", at positions 509 to 807 of the family's 1533-position model. The record is from RNAcentral.